This 557-nucleotide ribosomal RNA is filed under the name uncultured bacterium. RNAcentral describes it as "bacterial SSU rRNA". It matches the Rfam family "Bacterial small subunit ribosomal RNA", at positions 102 to 694 of the family's 1533-position model. The record is from RNAcentral.
ACGGGUGAGUAACGCGUGGGAAUCUACCCAUCUCUACGGAACAACUCCGGGAAACUGGAGCUAAUACCGUAUACGUCCUUUUGGAGAAAGAUUUAUCGGAGAUGGAUGAGCCCGCGUUGGAUUAGCUAGUUGGUGGGGUAAUGGCCUACCAAGGCGACGAUCCAUAGCUGGUCUGAGAGGAUGAUCAGCCACACUGGGACUGAGACACGGCCCAGACUCCUACGGGAGGCAGCAGUGGGGAAUAUUGGACAAUGGGCGCAAGCCUGAUCCAGCCAUGCCGCGUGAGUGACGAAGGCCCUAGGGUUGUAAAGCUCUUUCAACGGUGAAGAUAAUGACGGUAACCGUAGAAGAAGCCCCGGCUAACUUCGUGCCAGCAGCCGCGGUAAUACGAAGGGGGCUAGCGUUGUUCGGAAUUACUGGGCGUAAAGCGCACGUAGGCGGAUACUUAAGUCAGGGGUGAAAUCCCGGGGCUCAACCCCGGAACUGCCUUUGAUACUGGGUAUCUCGAGUCCGGAAGAGGUGAGUGGAAUUCCGAGUGUAGAGGUGAAAUUCGUAGA